RNAcentral lists this ribosomal RNA (468 nucleotides) under uncultured bacterium. RNAcentral's name for it is "partial 16S ribosomal RNA". It matches the Rfam family "Bacterial small subunit ribosomal RNA", at positions 28 to 507 of the family's 1533-position model. The record is from RNAcentral.
GACGAACGCUGGCGGCGGGCUUAACACAUGCCAGUCGAACGGAAAGGCCCUGCUUUUGUGGGGUGCUCGAGUGGCGAACGGGUGAGUAACACGUGAGUAACCUGCCCUUGACUUUGGGAUAACUUCAGGAAACUGGGGCUAAUACCGGAUAGGAGCUCCUGCUGCUUGGUGGGGGUGGGAUAGUUUCGGCGGUUGGGGAUGGACUCGCGGCUUAGCAGCGUGUUGGUGGGGUAGUGGCUUACCAAGGCUUUGACGGGUAGCCGGCCUGAGAGGGUGACCGGCCACAUUGGGACUGAGAUACGGCCCGGACUCCUACGGGAGGCAGCAGUGGGGAAUAUUGCACAAUGGGCGGAAGCCUGAUGCAGCAACGCCGCGUGCGGGAUGACGGCCUUCGGGUUGUAAACCGCUUUCGCCUGUGACGAAGCGUGAGUGACGGUAAUGGGUAAAGAAGCACCGGCUAACUACGUG